GUACACGCUGUGACUAGCAUAUCAAUAAGCGGAGGAAAAGAAACUAACUAGGAUUCCCUCAGUAACGGCGAGUGAAGCGGGAAGAGCUCAAAUUUGAAAUCUUCAAGGUUCUACCUUGACGAAUUGUAGUUUAAAGAAGUGUUUUCUGUUGGAGUUUUGGUAAAAGUUCUUUGGAAUAGGACAUCAUAGAGGGUGAGAAUCCCGUAUUUGACCAUUAUUUCCAGCUUUGUGAUACACUUUCAAAGAGUCGGAUUGUUUGGGAAUGCAGUCCAAAAUGGGUGGUAAAUUUCAUCUAAAGCUAAAUACUUGGCGAGAGACCGAUAGCGAACAAGUACCGUGAGGGAAAGAUGAAAAGAACUUUGAAAAGAGAGUUAAACAGUACGUGAAAUUGUCAAAAGGGAAGCGUUUGACACCAGUGUUGUUUUCUCGAAAAUCAAUUAAAAAAGGCAGGAUUUUGUGUUGUAUUGACUUUAUCAGCUUUCUGCACUCUUUUCUUGUCUUUUUUAAUGCACUUUUCGUUUAACAAGUCAACAUCAAUUUCUUUUGUUGUAAAAGGGUCAUUGGAAGGUGGCUUUCUUUUCGGAGAAAGUGUUUAUAGCCUUUGGCCUCUGCAAUCGGAGAGAUUGAGGUCUGCAGCGUAGAUCCUUCGGGGUUAGAUACAUUUGUGCUAAGUUAUAGCCUUUCAUAGACAACUUGUUGACUAUGAUCAGUCAUGUAGCUUACUCGCUUAUGCUAUUUUACCUACGCUUAGGAUGUUGAAGACUCUACAGAGAUA
This 775-nucleotide ribosomal RNA is filed under the name uncultured Neocallimastigales. RNAcentral describes it as "partial large subunit ribosomal RNA". It matches the Rfam family "Eukaryotic large subunit ribosomal RNA", at positions 22 to 631 of the family's 3401-position model. Lineage: Eukaryota; Fungi; Neocallimastigomycota; Neocallimastigomycetes; Neocallimastigales. The record is from RNAcentral.